RNAcentral lists this ribosomal RNA (296 nucleotides) under uncultured bacterium. RNAcentral describes it as "partial 16S ribosomal RNA". It matches the Rfam family "Bacterial small subunit ribosomal RNA", at positions 775 to 1067 of the family's 1533-position model. The record is from RNAcentral.
GGAUUAGAUACCCUGGUAGUCCACGCCGUAAACGAUGGGCACUAAGCGUCCGACGGGUUCGACCCUGUUGGGUGCUGCAGUUAACGCGUUAAGUGCCCCGCCUGGGGAGUACGGUCGCAAGACUAAAACUCAAAGGAAUUGACGGGGGCCCGCACAAGCGGUGGAACAUGUGGUUUAAUUCGACGCAACGCGAAGAACCUUACCUGGGUUUGACAUCCCCGGCCGACACCAGAGAUGGUGUUUUCUCUUCGGAGACCGGGUGACAGGUGCUGCAUGGCUGUCGUCAGCUCGUGCCG